This 500-nucleotide ribosomal RNA is filed under the name uncultured bacterium. RNAcentral describes it as "partial 16S ribosomal RNA". It matches the Rfam family "Bacterial small subunit ribosomal RNA", at positions 30 to 523 of the family's 1533-position model. The record is from RNAcentral.
AUUGAACGCUGGCGGCAUGCCUUACACAUGCAAGUCGGACGGCAGCACGGGAGCAAUCCUGGUGGCGAGUGGCGAACGGGUGAGUAAAGUAUCGGAACGUGCCCAGUCGUGGGGGAUAACGUAGCGAAAGUUACGCUAAUACCGCAUACGAUCUAUGGAUGAAAGCGGGGGAUCGCAAGACCUCGCGCGAUUGGAGCGGCCGAUAUCAGAUUAGGUAGUUGGUGGGGUAAAGGCUCACCAAGCCGACGAUCUGUAGCUGGUCUGAGAGGACGCCCAGCGACACUGGGACUGAGACACGGCCCAGACUCCUACGGGAGGCAGCAGUGGGUAAUUUUGGACAAUGGGCGAAAGCCUGAUCCAGCCAUGCCGCGUGCAGGAUGAAGGCCUUCGGGUUGUAAACUGCUUUUGUACGGAACGAAAAGGUUUGGCCUAAUAAGCUGAGCUCAUGACGGUACCGUAAGAAUAAGCACCGGCUAACUACGUGCCAGCAGCCGCCGUAA